This 1022-nucleotide ribosomal RNA is filed under the name Vibrio cholerae. Its description in RNAcentral is "partial 23S ribosomal RNA". It matches the Rfam family "Bacterial large subunit ribosomal RNA", at positions 1234 to 2240 of the family's 2925-position model. Lineage: Bacteria; Pseudomonadati; Pseudomonadota; Gammaproteobacteria; Vibrionales; Vibrionaceae. The record is from RNAcentral.
GAGCGUUCUGUAAGCCGUUGAAGGUGAAUCGUAAGGUUUGCUGGAGGUAUCAGAAGUGCGAAUGCUGACAUGAGUAACGACAAAGGGGGUGAAAAACCUCCUCGCCGGAAGACCAAGGGUUCCUGUCCAACGUUAAUCGGGGCAGGGUGAGUCGACCCCUAAGGUGAGGCCGAAAGGCGUAAUCGAUGGGAAACGGGUUAAUAUUCCCGUACUUCUGACUAUUGCGAUGGGGGGACGGAGAAGGCUAGGUGGGCCAGGCGACGGUUGUCCUGGUUCAAGUGCGUAGGCUUGAGAGUUAGGUAAAUCCGGCUCUCUCUAAGGCUGAGACACGACGUCGAGCUGCUACGGCAGUGAAGUCAUUGAUGCCAUGCUUCCAGGAAAAGCCUCUAAGCUUCAGAUAGUCAGGAAUCGUACCCCAAACCGACACAGGUGGUCGGGUAGAGAAUACCAAGGCGCUUGAGAGAACUCGGGUGAAGGAACUAGGCAAAAUGGUACCGUAACUUCGGGAGAAGGUACGCUCUUGAUGGUGAAGUCCCUCGCGGAUGGAGCUGACGAGAGUCGCAGAUACCAGGUGGCUGCAACUGUUUAUUAAAAACACAGCACUGUGCAAAAUCGCAAGAUGACGUAUACGGUGUGACGCCUGCCCGGUGCCGGAAGGUUAAUUGAUGGGGUUAGCGCAAGCGAAGCUCUUGAUCGAAGCCCCGGUAAACGGCGGCCGUAACUAUAACGGUCCUAAGGUAGCGAAAUUCCUUGUCGGGUAAGUUCCGACCUGCACGAAUGGCGUAAUGAUGGCCACGCUGUCUCCACCCGAGACUCAGUGAAAUUGAAAUCGCUGUGAAGAUGCAGUGUACCCGCGGCUAGACGGAAAGACCCCGUGAACCUUUACUACAGCUUGGCACUGAACAUUGAACCUACAUGUGUAGGAUAGGUGGGAGGCUAUGAAGACGUGACGCCAGUUGCGUUGGAGCCGUCCUUGAAAUACCACCCUUGUAUGUUUGAUGUUCUAACUUAGACCCGUUAUC